Molecule: non-coding RNA, 219 nt
Organism: Coffea arabica (coffee)
Lineage: Eukaryota; Viridiplantae; Streptophyta; Magnoliopsida; Gentianales; Rubiaceae
Source: RefSeq, a predicted model, not a curated record
AAUGAAGUUGGAAGAAAGUUAGAAAUUUGGAGAAGGAUCUCAAGAGGACUUCGAGGGAACUCCCGGCGAAGCGUCUUAGAGCUAAUUUCUCAAACUUUGACUUUUGAUACUUGGUUUGGAAGUGGAAGUUCUGAGGCUUAAUUAGUGACCCCCAAAAAUAUUUUUUUUCCCACAAGGCUCGAGGCCAAAGAAAGCGUUUGUAUUGAGUGAUUAGUGCCU